CACCGCCUCAGGUACAUCUUGAGAUAGAUUGUUUCCAGCUACCACCAGUACCACCGCCUCAAUAGAAUUGCCUUCGCCCCUCCUUCUCUAAUCGAUCGACACUUCUCUCUAGAAAUUGAUUUAAUGGCCGAUCUACAAUCGGACGCACCCUCCGACUGGAAGAAUCCAAAGCCAGUUACCUUCAUGAAAUAAUCUUGUCGGUUCUGCCCUCAUGUAGGCGACGCGACACCUCUAUCUUCAAACCCUCCACCUUCGUUAGAUACUCUGAUGUAAGUUUCAAUCUCGAUUUCUACUUUGAUUUCUACUAUCCGAUUACGCUUUCAUGUUUGAUGGCCUGAUACGUUAGCGAAUUGGGCUAAACCCCAUGGAAGCAUAGAGAAUAGGGCAUAAACAAGUACGUGCCAUUUAAUCGACGUUCAUAAUCAGGAGCUAAGAAGAGCAAAAGGGUAUGCGCCAUUUAAUCGAAGCACCUCGAGUAGGAAAUUGCUAAAUUGGUAAAUCCGAUCAAAAAUCUUGAAAAACGCAUGAUGUAUAGACUGAGGAGCCCUCUAAGGCUCUUUUCAAUCGAUUUUCGACUCAAUUGAUCACCUUCAGUCCUUCUUAGUAUUGUGAUUUUCGAUUUUUAUGAGUUGUAAGCUGGACCUCAAUUUCCAAUAACCUGUUAUUGUAUUCUGAGUUGUUUUUUUUUUUUUUUUUUUGAAGCACACCUCUAAGGGCAUCAAAAGUGAGAAGCUUUUGAGUUUUUUUGUUCUUUUAUUUCUCUUCUGAUUCAAAUUCAUCUCUAAACCUACUGUCAUCAAUCAUCAUCUCUUCAUCUGUUCUUUUUGGUUUGUUAUAGGAUGAUUGUUUCCUAUUAGGGCUCCACUAUUGUAGAAAGGAUUUGUGACCUGUUGGAGUUCGAUAAGGUCUUGAAGUCCAGUUUCUCAUUCUAUUUCUCGAGGAUAGCUUAAGAGAUCCUAACCGGGAAGGUGUUGAUGAUAAUCACCUGAGACAACUUAUUAGGCCUGCAAUGCAUUUUAUCAUCUCUUAUGCACAAUUUUUUUUAUUUUUUUAUUUUGCAUUUAUUUGUAAAUUUUUGUGAUGACAUGUACGAAUGAUAUAUAUUCUGGUGAAGAGAAAGAAAGGGUCUCAUGCUAGAAUGUUUGACAUUACAAAGACACCAGAGCAAUUAUACAUAUUAGUGGUACUUGCAAAUUGGAAUGCACGGGGACAGGAGGGAUAUCAUCGAAGUUCAGGGAUAUGCCUAUCCAUUCUAAAUAUGCUUGGGCAGAGGUACUUUUAUUACUGCAUGCAUUAAGAUCUAUCCAAACCUAGUCAACAAAUCUAGGUUGCUAUUUCUUUGAUUGAGCUAUACCAGUCUGGGAACAAAAAAACAUCAAAAGAAAAGCUUCUUUCAAGCGAUUUGUGGCUGCCCGGACUGAAAGGUUCAAUCACUCAUUCUUAACUACAUCAAUUCUUCUUUUUUGUUAAUUUUAGUUGGACAUAAGAUGAGUGUUCAAAUUCCUGAAUUUAUUCAAUUUAAGGAAAGAUAUCGAUAGUGGUUUCUGGGAACAUCUACAAACUGAUUGCAGUCUUAAGGUACACAUAUGAUUCAUGUACCUACUGCCAUCUACCCUAUUUAUUGAUGGAAUUCUUUAUUUUUUAUCACAUAAUAGUUUGUUUUGUAGUAAAGCAUGUAGACUUGAUUCCACUUUUACAUCUCCACAUGCAUUUCUUAUUCUUCUUUUGAGCUUAUCUAUUAUGUAUUUUAUGCGCACUCCCUGUUUGAGUAAGACCUUGAACCAAAAAUAUAUAUCAGUGUAGUUAGUAAGGUAUAGUUUUUUUGUUUAGGUAAAUGGAUGAAUGUGAGGACAUUAUACAAUGAGCACAAGGUUUCUUGGAUUGGCCAGAUAUGUUGGAUUCUACUUUACAUAUAAACUUCACAUCUUUUAGGUUUCUCCUGAAUUAUGAGAUAGGAUGAAAUAUAUAUCAUUUCUUCUUUGAUUCUUGACUAUGGAAUGUGAUUAUGUUUGAUUAGGGAUUAACUUUGAGUCUUGAUGAAAAAUUGUAAGAAAAUGGCUAUACAUUUAUUUAUUUACCGACAUGGCUACUUCUGUCUAUAUAGUUUCAUUUGGUCGCAUCCAUUGUUCCUAAUAAAUUCAGUAAUACUCGUGUUAAAUUUUAGUCCUAUGUGAAAGAUACAUAUAAUUGAUCACUUUUCUCUAUAUUGAUGAAAAAAUAGUUGAGAACACCUACUUGUGAUUGAUAGUUGUGAUUAACUAUCCCUUGCUAUAUAUAUAAAAAAAAGCUUCAGACCUAUUUACAAUUUAGGGAUUUUGGUUGAUGUAAAGUAUAUAUUUUAUCGUAAAAUUGAGGUGGGCUUGGUUUUAAUUCAUCAAAGAAUACAAUGGAAUUAAGAGCACUUGUUGUAGGGUUAAGCAUUCCUUCAAGAGCAUUGGCUUCGUGAUAGGAUUCUUCUACUAGAAUUGGAUUUUACAUGAUUCCAACUAACAGGAAAUUGUUCUUUAGAUUAGGAGGUAACAUACUGAUUAAUAUAUACAUACCCAUUUCGACUUUUAUGGGUUAUAAACAUGAUUUAUCCUUUUUUAUGUUCUAACGUCUACAAAUGUCAUCAUUAGUUGAACUUUUCUAGAUUCAUGUAUUUCUUAUUGAUUUUGAUAAGGUUACUAAUAGUAAUAUCCUUUUUUAUU
This is a non-coding RNA of Lactuca sativa (garden lettuce), 2690 nucleotides long. NCBI's taxonomy places the organism in Eukaryota, Viridiplantae, Streptophyta, Magnoliopsida, Asterales, Asteraceae. The record is from RefSeq and is a predicted model, not a curated record.